RNAcentral lists this transfer RNA (71 nucleotides) under Loxodonta africana (African savanna elephant). It matches the Rfam family "tRNA". Rfam says of the family: Transfer RNA (tRNA) molecules are approximately 80 nucleotides in length. Their secondary structure includes four short double-helical elements and three loops (D, anti-codon, and T loops). The record is from Rfam by way of RNAcentral. Lineage: Eukaryota; Metazoa; Chordata; Mammalia; Proboscidea; Elephantidae.
GAAAUGGUGGUUCAGUGGUAGAGUUCUCACCUUUCACGUGGGAUACCAGGGCUCAAUUCCUGGCCAGUGUA